CAUAGCCUACGGGGGGCAGCAGUGAGGGAUAUUGGGCAAUGGGGGAAACCCUGACCCAGCGACGCCGCGUGAGGGAAGACGGUCUUCGGAUUGUAAACCUCUGUCUUUGGGGACGAAAAAGGACGGUACCCAAGGAGGAAGCUCCGGCUAAAUACGUGCCAGCAGCCGCGGUAAUACGUAUGGUGCAAGCGUUAUCCGGGUUUACUGGGUGUAAAGGGAGCGCAGGCGGCACGGCAAGCCUGAUGUGAAAGCCCGCGGCCCAACCGCGGGACUGCAUUGGGAACUACCGGGCUGGA
Molecule: ribosomal RNA, 296 nt
Filed under: uncultured bacterium
Lineage: Bacteria
Description: partial 16S ribosomal RNA
Rfam family: Bacterial small subunit ribosomal RNA
Source: RNAcentral